GCCCCUAUUAAAUCAAGUUCUUCAACCUUAAUCAUACCAAUCAUCUUCUUAAGUUUCAAAAAAAUAUCUACUUUGAAUAAUUUUGUAAAAAUAUCUGCAAUUUGAUCUCUAGAUGAACAAAACAAUGAUAUCCUUUUCUUUAACUGCUUCUCGAAUGCAAUAAAACUUGAUAUCAAUAUGCUUGCUAGACCAUGAAACAUAUUUUUUUGUUAAUAUAAUUGCAACCUUGUUAUUAUAAAAUAUUCUUGUAGGCCUGUCU
Molecule: long non-coding RNA, 259 nt
Filed under: Elaeis guineensis (African oil palm)
Lineage: Eukaryota; Viridiplantae; Streptophyta; Magnoliopsida; Arecales; Arecaceae
Description: long non-coding RNA (EGUI_LNC017242)
Source: RNAcentral